CCUGCACGAAGCCGGAGUUGCUAGUAAUCGCGAAUCAGAAUGUCGCGGUGAAUGCGUUCCCGGGUCUUGUACACACCGCCCGUCACACCAUGGAAGUUGGGGGUGCCCAAAGCCGGCAAGCAAAUAUGCUGUCUAAGGCAAAACCAAUGACUGGGGUGAAGUCGUAACAAGGUAAC
This 176-nucleotide ribosomal RNA is filed under the name uncultured bacterium. RNAcentral's name for it is "partial 16S ribosomal RNA". It matches the Rfam family "Bacterial small subunit ribosomal RNA", at positions 1315 to 1500 of the family's 1533-position model. The record is from RNAcentral.